CUAACAUGUAAGUCUUUAAUCCAUCUUGAAUUAAUUUUUGUAUAAGGUGUAAGGAAGGGAUCCAGUUUCAGCUCUUUUAAUACUUCUGGACUUCUUUAAAUGUCUAGAAGUGGAAUUACUGAGCAAAGGAGACAAACAUUUUUAUGACUUUCUGGAAGGGCUGGCCAAUUUACAGUGCUCCUAAAAAUGAUCAGAGUUGCUCACUUUCCAUCCCAAUAAUUACAGACUUUGAACAGGCAAAUAGGUAAAAACAAAGGCACAGAGAAUUCCAGAGUUUCAAUUAAGAGGCAGGGAAGAGACAGUUAGCCUGAGCAGAAGCUUCAAGAGUGGAGGUAUUUAUAGCAACCCCAAGAACAGACUAACACUACUACCCUUCUUAGGACAAAAAUGAUCAGAGAUGCAGAUUUAAUAUUUUGUGCCUUACACAGGCACUAAGCUAGCUGGCAGUGCCAGUGUGGUGUGCUUAAUGCUUCCAUGUAGUGUUCUUAAAAGUUUAAAGAAAUCUGACUUCCUAGAUAGCCUAAGUGGUGGGCAGUGGGGGGCUACUUGAUAUUUCCUUCCCUAGGGUCCCAGUCAGAGGCACGGUAACUCAAUACUUGUUUAUCCAGAGGACAGGACAGCUGCCAAGGGACCAAGGCUCAAGGAAGACAGACAGGGUACCUAAUUGGGGAAGGCUCCGACAGAGCAAGGUUUAGCUCACAAGGUCAAUCACACACAAUUUUUAUUUCAAAACCAACUUUAGGCUGGGUGUGGUGGCUCACGCCUGUAAUCUCAGCACUUUGGGAGAUGGAGGCGGGAUCACUCAAGGUCAGGAGUUUGAGCCAGCCUGGCCAACAUAGUGAAAUCCCAUCUCUAUUAAAAUACAAAAAUUAGCCAGGCAUGGUGGCAGGCACAUGAGGCAGGAGAAUCGCUUGAACCUGGGAGGUGGAGGUUGCAGUGAGCCAAAAUCACGCCACUGCACUACA
RNAcentral lists this long non-coding RNA (965 nucleotides) under Homo sapiens (human). RNAcentral's name for it is "HSALNT0179297". Lineage: Eukaryota; Metazoa; Chordata; Mammalia; Primates; Hominidae. The record is from RNAcentral.